GUCUCGCGAGGCGGUAGUGGGCGGAGCUAGGACGUACUAUAAAGGCUCUCCCCGGAGCACGUGAUUCCUCUCCGCCAGACCGCUGCCGAGCCGCCAUCAUGGAUACCAGUCGUGUGCAGCCUAUCAAGUUGGCCAGGGUGACCAAGGUCCUGGGCAGGACCGGUUCUCAGGGACAGUGCACGCAGGUGCGCGUGGAAUUUAUGGACGAUACGAGCCGCUCCAUCAUCCGCAACGUAAAAGGCCCGGUGCGCGAGGGCGACGUGCUGACCCUGUUGGAGUCCGAGCGAGAGGCCCGGAGGUUGCGCUGAGUUUGGCUGCUCGCUGGUUAGUGCAAAGAGGAAGGGAGGCUUCCUUAAGCUCAGGGGUUUUGAAUGUUGGAUUCGACCACUUGAGAUGGAAAUGGUGUGUCACGAUCUGGUCCUUUAUUUUGUGCUGCCACAUGUAAAUUGAGAUGGACCUUUAAAUAAAGCGUUUGCGAUACAAGUUAA
This is an RNA transcript of Callithrix jacchus (white-tufted-ear marmoset), 488 nucleotides long. It is a transcript of the gene named ribosomal protein S28, with no coding region annotated. The record is from RefSeq and is a predicted model, not a curated record. NCBI's taxonomy places the organism in Eukaryota, Metazoa, Chordata, Mammalia, Primates, Cebidae.